AGUGAACGCUGGCGGUAGGCCUAACACAUGCAAGUCGAACGGCAGCACAGUAAGAGCUUGCUCUUACGGGUGGCGAGUGGCGGACGGGUGAGGAAUACAUCGGAAUCUACUUUUUCGUGGGGGAUAACGUAGGGAAACUUACGCUAAUACCGCAUACUACCUACGGGUGAAAUCAGGGGAUCUUCGGACCUUUCGCGAUUGAAUGAGCCGAUGUCGGAUUAGCUAGUUGGCGGGGUAAAGGCCCACCAAGGCGACGAUCCGUAGCUGGUCUGAGAGGAUGAUCAGCCACACUGGAACUGAGACACGGUCCAGACUCCUACGGGAGGCAGCAGUGGGGAAUAUUGGACAAUGGGCGCAAGCCUGAUCCAGCCAUACCGCGUGGGUGAAGAAGGCCUUCGGGUUGUAAAGCCCUUUUGUUGGGAAAGAAAAGCAGCAGGUUAAUACCCCGCUGUUCUGACGGUACCCAAAGAAUAAGCACCGGCUAACUUCGUG
RNAcentral lists this ribosomal RNA (492 nucleotides) under uncultured bacterium. Its description in RNAcentral is "partial 16S ribosomal RNA". It matches the Rfam family "Bacterial small subunit ribosomal RNA", at positions 29 to 507 of the family's 1533-position model. The record is from RNAcentral.